GGGCCCGCACAAGCGGUGGAGCAUGUGGUUCAAUUCGAAGCAACGCGCAGAACCUUACCAGUCCUUGACAUGCCACGGCGGUUUCCAGAAAUGGAUUCCUCCCCGCAAGGGGCGUGGACACAGGUGCUGCAUGGCUGUCGUCAGCUCGUGUCGUGAGAUGUUGGGUUAAGUCCCGCAACGAGCGCAACCCUCGCCCUUAGUUGCCAUCAUUCAGUUGGGCACUCUAAGGGGACUGCCGGUGAUAAGCCGCGAGGAAGGUGGGGAUGACGUCAAGUCCUCAUGGCCCUUACGGGCUGGGCUACACACGUGCUACAAUGGCGGUGACAGUGGGAUGCAAUGGAGCAAUCCUGCGCAAAUCUCAAAAAGCCGUCUCAGUUCGGAUUGUGCUCUGCAACUCGAGCACAUGAAGUUGGAAUCGCUAGUAAUCGCAGAUCAGCACGCUGCGGUGAAUACGUUCCCGGGCCUU
This 466-nucleotide ribosomal RNA is filed under the name uncultured bacterium. RNAcentral's name for it is "bacterial SSU rRNA". It matches the Rfam family "Bacterial small subunit ribosomal RNA", at positions 917 to 1382 of the family's 1533-position model. The record is from RNAcentral.